UAUCACCUCACACAACUAAAUAAGCUUUCAAUCUUUCCAAAUCUCCAUUUGACUUCAAUUCGACCUUAUAAACCCAUUUGCAGGGUAACGGUUUCUUACCUGUUGGCAAGACUACCUCUUCCCAAGUAAAAUUAGAGAUCAGAGCUUGGAUUUCAUCAUCCAUGCAAUUCUCCAACCAGGAUGACACAUGGCCUGUUGAUACUAGUCAGGUUACCUCACGUGGCAGCUGAUAUUCUAGCGGAUUGUGUAUUCUCAGAUUAGUGGUGAGGUCUUAGAUUUUGGAUCGUCAUUAGUCUAUCUUUAAUUCUCAGUCUUUUGUAUCAUUCAGAGACUUAUGUUGUAUCUUCAAACUCGAACCUUUUAUUAGAUGCUCUUUAUACUUA
Molecule: long non-coding RNA, 383 nt
Organism: Solanum dulcamara
Lineage: Eukaryota; Viridiplantae; Streptophyta; Magnoliopsida; Solanales; Solanaceae
Exons: 2
Source: RefSeq, a predicted model, not a curated record